CUUCUUGUGCCUCUCUCCCACUCUCCUGGAGUUCUCCCAGAACAAUAUGCUGAGAACAUUGAUAAGGUUGGAAUUGCCCAAAGGCCUUGCACCAGGAGCAAAUACUUUGCUCCUAAAGCAGACAUUCAGAUCUGGAAAAUCUGAAAGAGAACAUGGGCAUGAUUCCCUUCAUUUUAAAAAUCAUCUUGAAUCCUGAGGCACAUUUGAAAUGCAAGAUAUGUGAGGUGAAUGGCAGAAAAGAAAAAUACCAGAAGACUGAAUUUCCAAUAAAUCAAAGCAACCGAAUUUCAAUUUACAAUAGUGGAACUCAGGACAUAUUUUUUCCACCAAAACAUCCAACCAAGUAUGAGUGAGUGGCCUGGCCUUAACACAUUGUUUGUUUGAACAACAAUUUGAAGGAAAGUCGAUAUGUUGAUAAUAUAAUAUAGAGUAACUUCAGAAGGCCUUAUAAAGAAUGUGCAGUAGGAAGAAGAAAAUCUGGAACCCUGAGUGAGUACU
RNAcentral lists this long non-coding RNA (498 nucleotides) under Homo sapiens (human). Its description in RNAcentral is "HSALNT0359896". Lineage: Eukaryota; Metazoa; Chordata; Mammalia; Primates; Hominidae. The record is from RNAcentral.